UCAACCAUCAAGCCUGGCUUGCUGUUGGACUUCUGUGACUGAAACAUGUGGCAGGUCUGAAAAAUAAUGACGGUGUCACGUUUGACCCUAGAUGCAACGAGCUUUUUAUAGCACGCAUUGAAGUGGUCAACUGAACUGGUCUUAACCAUCAAUUUCUAA
RNAcentral lists this unclassified non-coding RNA (159 nucleotides) under uncultured fungus. RNAcentral's name for it is "sequence contains ITS2". Lineage: Eukaryota; Fungi. The record is from RNAcentral.